GCGGUUUGUUAAGUCAGAUGUGAAAGCCCGGGGCUCAACCUCGGAACCGCAUUUGAAACUGGCAGGCUAGAGUCUUGUAGAGGGGGGUAGAAUUUCAGGUGUAGCGGUGAAAUGCGUAGAGAUCUGAAGGAAUACCAGUGGCGAAGGCGGCCCCCUGGACAAAGACUGACGCUCAGAUGCGAAAGCGUGGGUAGCAAACAGGAUUAGAUACCCUGGUAGUCCACGCCGUAAACGCUGUCUACUUGGAGGUUGAGGUUUAGACUUUGGCUUUCGGCGCUAACGCAUUAAGUAGACCGCCUGGGGAGUACGGCCGCAAGGUUAAAACUCAAAUGAAUUGACGGGGGCCCGCACAAGCGGUGGAGCAUGUGGUUUAAUUCGAUGCAACGCGAAGAACCUUACCUACUCUUGACAUCCAGCGAAUCCUUUAGAGAUAGAGGAGUGCCUUCGGGAGCGCUGAGACAGGUGCUGCAUGGCUGUCGUCAGCUCGUGUUGUGAAAUGUUGGGUUAAGUCCCGCAACGAGCGCAACCCUUAUCCUUGUUUGCCAGCACGUAAUGGUGGGAACUCCAGGGAGACUGCCGGUGAUAAACCGGAGGAAGGUGGGGACGACGUCAAGUCAUCAUGGCCCUUACGAGUAGGGCUACACACGUGCUACAAUGGCAGAUACAGAGGGCAGCGAAGCUGCGAAGUGGAGCGAAUCCCUUAAAGUUUGUCGUAGUCCGGAUUGGAGUCUGCAACUC
This 738-nucleotide ribosomal RNA is filed under the name uncultured Salinivibrio sp. Its description in RNAcentral is "bacterial SSU rRNA". It matches the Rfam family "Bacterial small subunit ribosomal RNA", at positions 575 to 1313 of the family's 1533-position model. The record is from RNAcentral. Lineage: Bacteria; Pseudomonadati; Pseudomonadota; Gammaproteobacteria; Vibrionales; Vibrionaceae.